UACGGGGGGAGCAAGCGUUGUUCGGAUUUACUGGGCGUAAAGGGCGCGUAGGCGGCCACCGCAAGUCAAUUGUGAAAUUUCGGGGCUCAACCCCGAGCUUGCAGUGGGUACGGGCAGACUAGAGUGUGGUAGGGGAGACUGGAAUUCCUGGUGUAGCGGUGAAAUGCGCAGAUAUCAGGAGGAACACCGAUGGCGAAGGCAGGUCUCUGGGCCACUACUGACGCUGAGAAGCGAAAGCAUGGGGAGCGAACAGG
Molecule: ribosomal RNA, 254 nt
Filed under: uncultured bacterium
Lineage: Bacteria
Description: partial 16S ribosomal RNA
Rfam family: Bacterial small subunit ribosomal RNA
Source: RNAcentral